RNAcentral lists this long non-coding RNA (187 nucleotides) under Fukomys damarensis (Damara mole-rat). RNAcentral describes it as "lncRNA (ENSFDAG00000030572.1)". Lineage: Eukaryota; Metazoa; Chordata; Mammalia; Rodentia; Bathyergidae. The record is from RNAcentral.
UGCAGAAUCAGGGUUCAACAGACCUGGGGAUCAACUGGAGCAGGAAGCACCCCAAGGCUAGAGGGCAUUUGGAGGUCACCGUGCUCCAGGAAGCAAACCUAAAGCAACCCGUGGGAAGUUCAGUAUGUUGCAGAACAAAAGAGACAAUAUUUAUCAGGGCCCGCGGUUGGGAGGAUGAAGAACAAGG